This is a long non-coding RNA of Brassica oleracea var. oleracea, 738 nucleotides long. RefSeq lists it as uncharacterized. The transcript is spliced from 4 exons. NCBI's taxonomy places the organism in Eukaryota, Viridiplantae, Streptophyta, Magnoliopsida, Brassicales, Brassicaceae. The record is from RefSeq and is a predicted model, not a curated record.
CUGAAAAGUCUUAAAUGUUUUAUUUUCUUUCUCUGUCGGUGUCUCUCAGUCAACUCUUCUUCCUCGAUGUUCAUCAUGAUUCAAGUUUGUUUGGAAGAUCCUUAUUCGAAAUCCAGACCAAAAGAGGAGAUUUUGUGUUUAUCAAAACAAUUCACUCUAUUCUAAGAGCCAAAUCGAUAUACUCGAAAUAAAGAUCGACCAUCACCUGAGGAUAUUUCAAUGGCUUUGGUUGAAAAUUAGUUUUUGUAGACAUGUGGAUGGUAAGGAGAUUCCCUUCAAACCUGCUCGGCUGAUUCUACAGGGCUCAACUGGUGUCCCUGCAGUUGUGUAAAUAGUUUGCAUGAGAGUAGCCACGGAUAAUGUCAAUGUUGAUUCUACUGCGUUCAAUCCCUUGGUUAGUGAACUUCAAGCUAUUCAUACUGAGAUUGAUUGAUAUUAUAUUUGUUUUAAAUUGGGGAUCUGUUUUGUUUCAUGUAUGUAAACACAUGAAGCUAAUGUUUAUUUUUUAGAAUGCUCCUCAGAUGAUAGUAAGGAGAUUACAAUCCGAGAUGUUACAAAAUCUUUUAUAACAUGUCAAUUUGGCAGUUUCAACAAGUUUUGAUGAUAUGUAUGUUCAACUCACGAACUCCAUGUCUAUAAUAUGUCUUAUAGUGCUAUAUACGAGAUGGUACUAGAAGAAAAUGCUCCAGUUAACUUUGGAUCACCGUAUAAGAACAUAUUGAUUUGACAACUCUCCCA